GAUACAGCUAAAGCUUUCCUUGAGGACCUUGAGAAGAGAUUUGCUAAGAAUGAAAAGGCUGAAACUAGUACAAUCUUAGCAAAGCUCAUCUCUAUGAGGUACACAGGCAAAGAAAAUAUAAGAGAGUAGAUUAUGGAAAUGUCUGAUGCUGCUUCAAAAUUAAAGGCACUCAAGUUGGAUUUAUCUGAAGACUUGUUAGUGCAUUGGGUUUUGAUAUCCCUUACAGCACAGUUCAGUCAGUUGAAAGUGAGCUAUAACUGUCAAAAGGACUCUUGGUCCCUUAAUAAGCUCAUCUCACACUGUGUUCAGGAGGAAGAUAGAUUGAAGCAAGAAAGGACACCGAGUGUUCAUUUGGCCUCCACCACAAAGGACAAAAGGAAAGACAAUAAGAGAUAGAAGUAAUAGGAAGCUAUAGAAAUAGCACCGCAAAAGAAACAACAUAAGGAACCAACUCAGGAUGGUUGUUUCUUCUGUAGAGUGGCAGGUCAUAAGAAGAAGCAGUGUACCAACUAUCAUGCAUGGCAUGUAAAGAAAGGUAUGCUUCUUAACUUUGUUUGUUCUGAGGUUAAUUUGGCUUCAGUACCUAGACACACAUGGUGGAUGGAUUCUGGUGCAACAACUCACAUCAAUGUGUCCAUGCAGGGUUGCCUGAAUUAACGAAAACCUAGUGAUGGUGAAAGAUACAUCUAUGUUGGUGAUGGCAAGUCAGUAGAGGUCUAAGCAAUUGGAACUUUUAGAUUAUUGUUAAGAACUGGUUAUUAUUUGGAUUUGAUUGAGACUUUUGUUGUACCGUCCUUUAGACGGAAUUUGAUUUCUAUUUCAGUAUUGG
RNAcentral lists this unclassified non-coding RNA (829 nucleotides) under Hevea brasiliensis (rubber tree). The record is from RNAcentral. Lineage: Eukaryota; Viridiplantae; Streptophyta; Magnoliopsida; Malpighiales; Euphorbiaceae.